This 254-nucleotide ribosomal RNA is filed under the name uncultured bacterium. RNAcentral's name for it is "partial 16S ribosomal RNA". It matches the Rfam family "Bacterial small subunit ribosomal RNA", at positions 524 to 776 of the family's 1533-position model. The record is from RNAcentral.
UACGUAGGGUGCGAGCGUUUGUCCGGAAUUAUUGGGCGUAAAGGGCUCGUAGGCGGUUUGUCGCGUCGGGAGUGAAAACGCCGUGCUUAACACGGCGCUUGCUUUCGAUACGGGCAGACUAGAGGUAUUCAGGGGAGAACGGAAUUCCUGGUGUAGCGGUGAAAUGCGCAGAUAUCAGGAGGAACACCGGUGGCGAAGGCGGUUCUCUGGGCAUGUCCUGACGCUGAGGAGCGAAAGUGUGGGGAGCGAACAGG